GGACCCGCACAAGCGGUGGAUGAUGUGGUUUAAUUCGAUGCAACGCGAAAAACCUUACCUACCCUUGACAUGCCUGGAAUCUUGCAGAGAUGUGAGAGUGCUCGAAAGAGAGCCAGGACACAGGUGCUGCAUGGCCGUCGUCAGCUCGUGUCGUGAGAUGUUGGGUUAAGUCCCGCAACGAGCGCAACCCUUGUCAUUAGUUGCUACGAAAGGGCACUCUAAUGAGACUGCCGGUGACAAACCGGAGGAAGGUGGGGAUGACGUCAGGUCCUCAUGGCCCUUAUGGGUAGGGCUACACACGUCAUACAAUGGCCGGUACAGAGGGCUGCCAACCCGCGAGGGGGAGCCAAUCCCAGAAAACCGGUCGUAGUCCGGAUCGCAGUCUGCAACUCGACUGCGUGAAGUCGGAAUCGCUAGUAAUCGCGGAUCAGCUUGCCGCGGUGAAUACGUUCCCGGGUCUU
Molecule: ribosomal RNA, 461 nt
Filed under: uncultured bacterium
Lineage: Bacteria
Description: bacterial SSU rRNA
Rfam family: Bacterial small subunit ribosomal RNA
Source: RNAcentral